UGAGACGCUAUAACUCAACGGAAU
Molecule: non-coding RNA, 24 nt
Filed under: Arabidopsis thaliana (thale cress)
Lineage: Eukaryota; Viridiplantae; Streptophyta; Magnoliopsida; Brassicales; Brassicaceae
Source: RNAcentral